RNAcentral lists this transfer RNA (65 nucleotides) under bovine gut metagenome. It matches the Rfam family "tRNA". Rfam says of the family: Transfer RNA (tRNA) molecules are approximately 80 nucleotides in length. Their secondary structure includes four short double-helical elements and three loops (D, anti-codon, and T loops). Further hydrogen bonds mediate the characteristic L-shaped molecular structure. tRNAs have two regions of fundamental functional importance: the anti-codon, which is responsible for specific mRNA codon recognition, and the 3' end, to which the tRNAs corresponding amino acid is attached (by aminoacyl-tRNA synthetases). tRNAs cope with the degeneracy of the genetic code in two manners: having more than one tRNA (with a specific anti-codon) for a particular amino acid; and 'wobble' base-pairing, i.e. permitting non-standard base-pairing at the 3rd anti-codon position. The record is from RNAcentral.
UAGGUAGCUCAAUGGCAGAGCAAUGGUUUUGUAAACCAUAGGUUGUAGGUUCAACUCCUAUCCUA